UUGACCUCGGAUCAGGUAGGAAUACCCGCUGAACUUAAGCAUAUCAAUAAGCGGAGGAAAAGAAACCAACAGGGAUUGCCCUAGUAACGGCGAGUGAAGCGGCAACAGCUCAAAUUUGAAAUCUGGCGCAAGCCCGAGUUGUAAUUUGUAGAGGAUGCUUCAGGGCAGCGGCCGGUCUAAGUUCCUUGGAACAGGACGUCAUAGAGGGUGAGAAUCCCGUAUGCGACCGGUUGGCACCCGUCACGUAGCUCCUUCGACGAGUCGAGUUGUUUGGGAAUGCAGCUCUAAAUGGGAGGUAAAUUUCUUCUAAAGCUAAAUACCGGCCAGAGACCGAUAGCGCACAAGUAGAGUGAUCGAAAGAUGAAAAGCACUUUGGAAAGAGAGUUAAAAAGCACGUGAAAUUGUUGAAAGGGAAGCGCAUGCAACCAGACUUGUCGGCGGUGUUCCGCCGGUCUUCUGACCGGUCUACUCGCCGCCGGCAGGCCAGCAUCAUCUGGGCGCGCCGGAUAAAGGCGUGGGGAAUGUAGCUCCUCGGAGUGUUAUAGCCCCGCGCACAAUACGGCGCCGCUCGGGUGAGGUCCGCGCUUCGGCUAGGAUGCUGGCGUAAUGGUUGUCUGCGGCCCGUCUUGAAACACGGACCAAGGAGUCUAACAUCUAUGCGAGUGUUCGGGUGUCAAACCCCUACGCGUAAUGAAAGUGAACGGAGGUGGGAAGCGCAAGCUGCACCAUCGACCGAUCCUGAUGUCUUCGGAUGGAUUUGAGUAAGAGCAUAGCUGUUGGGACCCGAAAGAUGGUGAACUAUGCCUGAAUAGGGUGAAGCCAGAGGAAACUCUGGUGGAGGCUCGCAGCGGUUCUGACGUGCAAAUCGAUCGUCAAAUUUGGGUAUAGGGGCGAAAGACUAAUCGAACCAUCUAGUAGCUGGUUCCUGC
Molecule: ribosomal RNA, 929 nt
Filed under: Teratosphaeriaceae sp. CPC 13680
Lineage: Eukaryota; Fungi; Ascomycota; Dothideomycetes; Mycosphaerellales; Teratosphaeriaceae
Description: partial 28S ribosomal RNA
Rfam family: Eukaryotic large subunit ribosomal RNA
Source: RNAcentral